UGGCGGACGGGUGAGUAAUGUCUGGGAAACUGCCCGAUGGAGGGGGAUAACUACUGGAAACGGUAGCUAAUACCGCAUAACGUCGCAAGACCAAAGAGGGGACCUUCGGGCCUCGCGCCAUCAGAUGAACCCAUAUGGGAUUAGCUAGUAGGUAAGGUAACGGCUUACCUAGGCGACGAUCCCUAGCUGGUCUGAGAGGAUGAUCAGCCACACUGGGACUGAGACACGGCCCAG
This 234-nucleotide ribosomal RNA is filed under the name uncultured bacterium. RNAcentral's name for it is "partial 16S ribosomal RNA". It matches the Rfam family "Bacterial small subunit ribosomal RNA", at positions 96 to 334 of the family's 1533-position model. The record is from RNAcentral.